UACGAAGGGGGCUAGCGUUGCUCGGAAUGACUGGGCGUAAAGCGCGUGUAGGCGGUUUACACAGUCAGAUGUGAAAUCCCCGGGCUUAACCUGGGAGCUGCAUUUGAUACGUGUAGACUAGAGUGUGAGAGAGGGUUGUGGAAUUCCAGGUGUAGAGGUGAAAUUCGUAGAGAUUGGGAAGAACACCGGUGGCGAAGGCGGCAACCUGGCUCAUUACUGACGCUGAGGCGCGAAAGCGUGGGGAGCAAACAGG
RNAcentral lists this ribosomal RNA (253 nucleotides) under uncultured bacterium. RNAcentral describes it as "partial 16S ribosomal RNA". It matches the Rfam family "Bacterial small subunit ribosomal RNA", at positions 524 to 776 of the family's 1533-position model. The record is from RNAcentral.